Molecule: long non-coding RNA, 1967 nt
Organism: Arabidopsis lyrata subsp. lyrata
Lineage: Eukaryota; Viridiplantae; Streptophyta; Magnoliopsida; Brassicales; Brassicaceae
Exons: 3
Source: RefSeq, a predicted model, not a curated record
CCCUUUCUCGACUUUUGCCGACAAAAACUAAGUGAAGCGAAAUCUUCGAUUCUGGUUGAUUUCCGUUACUCUGCGAAGAGAGAUGAGUCGAAAAUCAAUCUAUGAUCCAUUGUUAUCAUUAGGGUUCUUAGAAUUGGGAUUAUUGUAAUGCAAAAUUAGGGUUAUUAGAAUUGGGAUUAGGGUAAUGCAAAAUUAGGUUUCUAUGAUCCGUUUGAUAUAUAGAACAGUAAGAAUUGAUGUGGUCAGAUUGAGAAUUGGUAAUUGAUCUUUUUGAGAAUUGGUAAUUGUCUCUAAGACUUCUUCUUCUUACUCUCAAGUAAGCUUCUUUCUUUGAUCUUCCUCGUUUAGUUUCGUUUCUAAUCGUAAACUUUCUUUGAUUCAUUAUAAUUUGCUUGUUAUGAGAUCGAUAAAUCCAAUUGUUCCAGUUCUAUUGUAGAUAGUUCAAUUUUGAUUAUAGCUAUGGUAUCGUUGCGUUGAGUUACCGAUCUUCUAUUAUUUCUCCUUUUCAUAUUGUUGUUUGGUUUUAAACAUUGUCAUAAUCUGUUCAAUUUCUCCAAGAUGUUCCUACGUUGGUUGAGUCUCUAUGAUUAAAAAUCUGUUCAAUUUCUCAAAGUUUUUUUUUUAUUUGUUUGUUUUGAUUAGUAUAGCUUUUUUUGCUUUUUUUGUGGAAUGGUAUGUGUGUUAGAGAAAUGGCUGAAUCUAAGGUAGUAGUUCCAAGAGUCUGUGCUAAAAAUGAUCAAGAGGCAAGUGGAAUGGACAUUGGUCAACAAAGAUGAAGCUGUAGCUGCUAAGAAGAAGAGUGUUGAGACCCGCAAGCUCAUCUUCAAGAGAGCUGAGCAGUAUGAGAGAGAGUAUGCUGAGAAGAUAAUGAGUUGAUCCGAUUGAAGAGGGAGGCUAAGUUGAAAGGAGGCUAAGUUGAAAGGAGGAUUCUAUUCUUAAAGAACAUUUUCAUACAAUGGAGUACAAACAGAUAAGUCUUUCAUUAAAAUCUUAUUCAUUCAUUUAUCUCUCUAUUGGGUAAGAGUAUAGAUGUAGGCUAGGGGAAGAUAGUAUCUUGUCAUAUUAAUUCUUCAUUGCCUACACACAUAAAAUUUCUUGUUGAAAACAAUUUAUAAACAUAGAUUAUCUCAAAUCCAAAUCCAACUAAUACUUAAACAAAGCUUUCCAGAAGAAACACAAUUAUAUAUAUAUAUAUUUUUAUGAAGAGGAAUGUAUACAAUAGUGUAAUUUAGUACUAAAACGCAGCUAAAGGCCUUACAUAGAAGGAUUGAAACAAAACCAUUUAUGUGUUUCCUUUUUAUUGCCACUCUUUCAUCCAACAGAUCGGAGCUAGACUCUAUCGUUGCCAAGCAUGUUUUUUGUUAUCUACAAAUCUGCAGAAAAAAAUGAAUUUGGAAACUAACAAUAAUAUUUGAGUUUAGAAUCUCACCAUUUUUGGCUGUGUAUUGCCAUGAUGCAGGAUCUUAACUUGGACUCGUCAUGCAAUUUUGUAAAGCCGUCUCCAACCAUGGAGAUAUUAAAAAGCUUUCAUCCUCAAUGUAAAAGUAGCACUACUUGAUGGUUUUGUGGUACGCCGAUUUUUUGUUUCAAGAACACUCAAAAAUCGACCAUGGGGUCCAACUUUUUUGUUUUUUGGUCGUCCAACAGGAGCUUUUCUUUUUACCCCACGUGCAUUUGGAACAUCAUUGUCUUCUUCUUCUUCUUCUUCCACAAGUUCAACAUCUGAAGUUUGGAGCAUCCAUGCAUUAGCUUUCAGAAGUUCCUUUUUUUUUUCCUCCAAUUUUUUAAGCAACUGAAUGGCAUCUUCAUUUGCACACAAUGUCAUUUCUAUAUGAUCAGCAGCAACAUAUGCAAUCUCACGGAAAGUAUGACAUAUAUGGCUAUAUCGCUUUCCAAUCGAUUGCUUGACUGUUUCAUUAGGUGACUCUGAAUGAUAAUAAGAUAUGUUUCGUGCUUUUGCCUCUUUA